Molecule: transfer RNA, 63 nt
Filed under: Thalamita sima
Lineage: Eukaryota; Metazoa; Arthropoda; Malacostraca; Decapoda; Portunidae
Description: tRNA-Gly
Rfam family: tRNA
About the family: Transfer RNA (tRNA) molecules are approximately 80 nucleotides in length. Their secondary structure includes four short double-helical elements and three loops (D, anti-codon, and T loops).
Source: RNAcentral
AUUUUUUUAGUAUAACGAGUAUAUCUGACUUCCAAUCAGAAGGUCUAGCUUCUAGAAAAAAUA